RNAcentral lists this long non-coding RNA (978 nucleotides) under Phasianus colchicus (ring-necked pheasant). RNAcentral's name for it is "lncRNA (ENSPCLG00000012815.1)". Lineage: Eukaryota; Metazoa; Chordata; Aves; Galliformes; Phasianidae. The record is from RNAcentral.
GUUUGAUCAGGUAGAGAGGCUGCUUAUCUGCUGGAACAAGUGGUAUUAUCUCUGUUUGCUGAGAUAUAGAAGGCAAAAUUGGUUCUUGUUCACUUUGGAAGACAAUUAAGUAGUAGCUUGAGGGACAACUUUCAUUGAGAACAAGCUUAACAAGUGAGCCUCUUUCCUCUUCUCCCCAGGUCAUUGUAUUUUGGGGUAUGUUUUUACACGUGGGCAUGUAGUGCUGUGCAGAGAUACAGAGCAGUCUUCCUGAGUUACUCCUGAUAGUGGUGCCUUCUCAUAGCUAGAAACUAGUUCUGCAGAAGAUUGCCCUGAGCUGUGGGAAGGUCUGGAGGCAAGGACGAGUAGUGCUGUAGGAACAAGCAGCAGACACAGUGAGCUAGAAGUUAAUUACACUAGAUGAGUGGAAAAAGUGCUGGAAUGAGGAAAACCAUUGGUCUUGCUUAUAUUGCUGCACUGCAUGUGAAGAAGGGACACUUUCAGACUUUUUUUAUAAGGAAGAUGUUUCUGUGCUGACAGCAUCAGUUCUACCUAAGAGCACAACUGCCAAGACACUUCCACUGAUGGACAGUUCUGACUUUCACCUUCAGAGGAGUCCAAUUCACAAGCUGGAGCAGCUUGUGCCCACCAUGAUAGGAAGGGAGUGGCAAGAGCCAAGCUGCUGCGUGCCAGGCAAAGGUGAAUGACUGUAUUUCUGCCUGGCUGCUAUGUCUUAUUUCUGUCUAAGGAGGAAAAAAUAUCAGUGUUCUUAAUCAUGCAUUUUAAUCAUGCUUGGUGUAACGCUGAAUAAUAUUCUCCUAUAAAUGUGUAUAAAGAGCUUUCCAAAAGAAACCUUAGCAUGCUGACACUCUAUCCGCUUCUAAGACUAUCCAAACAGAAAUUUAGGAAUGAAAACCCUGGGUCAAAACUGGAACGAUGCUGAAUGACUACCAUACCGUCAGUUGGCAGCUCGGCUGAAUAAAAAUUAGCCAAGUACCA